Molecule: long non-coding RNA, 893 nt
Filed under: Bos taurus (domestic cattle)
Lineage: Eukaryota; Metazoa; Chordata; Mammalia; Artiodactyla; Bovidae
Description: long non-coding RNA NONBTAT017374
Source: RNAcentral
CUUUGAAUAGUGUUUUACUUUUCAAAAAUUGUUAUAUAAGUCUCCAGUAUGGAGUUGAGAACCCCCUCUUUUAAUAAUGUUAAGGUAUAAUUUAUAUGCCAUAAAACUUAUUAAAUUUAAAUGAAAGCCUUUAUUUUUAUCUAAUUAUGUUUGUGGCUCAUUUUUCAAAAUCCCUUUCAGUUAUAUUUUUCUCUUAACUUAGUAGCCCAUUCACAUAUUUUAUUUAGGUAUGCAUGUGCUAAUGUUAUUAGCACUGCUUGUCAACACUGUAAAUUCUAAUUAAAGACAGUCAUAAUUUUUUCAGUGGGUUUCUUAGCUUUAAUUCAUGAUAAAUGCUUUCCUUUAAAUGAUACUCACUUCACUAAACAGAAAAUUCAAAAGCAGGAGCUUUGUUCUAAGGGACUACAUGUGGAAACUUUUCAGUUUUCUUAUUUUUGAAAAACCUCAGUUCUUAAUUAAUUUACUGUCUUUUUCAGAAUCUUAUCAAGCUAUUAACGCUUUCACUAUGACUAUCCUAUGUUUGUAAAUGUUAACUUUGUUUGCUCUUUUCAUUUUAGCAGUUAAUUCCCUGGUUAUCGACCCACAUUAUGAGUAGAUUGUUAGUUGAAUUUGUAACCAUAAGUAAAUAUUUAAUACAGUGACAUCAAAUCUCAGGCCUCUUAAGAAUUGGCACAGCUUUUAAAUUCUGUUUUAAAACAUCAGGGGUUAGUACAAUAUUAAAUUUAUGUUUUUAUAUUUUCUAGAGCUUUGGAAUAAAUAGAAGUUGUUGUAUUUUACAGCUUACAGAAAGUAACAGUGAAUUAUGCUGGUCUUCUUGAGAGAGGUUAACCAUAGAUUAUAAUACAUAUUUGGCUAAAAAGCAAUUAAUAAAGCUAAAAAGCAAUUAAUAGUAG